UAGAUACCCUGGUAGUCCACGCCGUAAACGAUGAACACUAGGUGUCGGGAGGAAUUUCGGUGCCGGCGCAAACGCAAUAAGUGUUCCGCCUGGGGAGUACGUUCGCAAGAAUAAAACUCAAAGGAAUUGACGGGGACCCGCACAAGUAGCGGAGCAUGUGGUUUAAUUCGAAGCAACGCGAAGAACCUUACCUAAGCUUGACAUGGGGAUGAAAAGCAAUGUAAAGUUGUAAUGAUACUUUCGGGUAUAC
RNAcentral lists this ribosomal RNA (250 nucleotides) under uncultured bacterium. RNAcentral's name for it is "partial 16S ribosomal RNA". It matches the Rfam family "Bacterial small subunit ribosomal RNA", at positions 779 to 1029 of the family's 1533-position model. The record is from RNAcentral.